RNAcentral lists this ribosomal RNA (466 nucleotides) under uncultured bacterium. RNAcentral's name for it is "partial 16S ribosomal RNA". It matches the Rfam family "Bacterial small subunit ribosomal RNA", at positions 29 to 507 of the family's 1533-position model. The record is from RNAcentral.
ACGCACGCUGGCGGCGUGCUUCACCCCUGCAAGUCGCACGGAAAGGCCUCUUUCGGGGGGUACUCGAGUGGCGAACGGGUGAGUAACACGUGAGUAACCUGCCCUUGACUUUGGGAUAACUUCAGGAAACUGGGGCUAAUACCGGAUAGGAGCUCCUGCUGCAUGGUGGGGGUUGGAAAGUUUCGGCGGUUGGGGAUGGACUCGCGGCUUACCAGCUUGUUGGUGGGGUAGUGGCUUACCAAGGCUUUGACGGGUAGCCGGCCUGAGAGGGUGACCGGCCACAUUGGGACUGAGAGACGGCCCAGACUCCUACGGGAGGCAGCAGUGGGGAAUAUUGCACAAUGGGUGGAAGCCUGAUGCAGCAACGCCGUGUGCGGGAUGACGGCCUUCGGGUUGUAAACCGCUUUCGCUCAUGACGAAGCUUUGUGUGACGGUAGUGGGUAAAGAAGCACCGGCUAACUACGUG